AGUAGAAUGACUGAGAAUUUAGGUGAAAGAUUGUAAAUCUUUUAAGGGGUUAUAUAAAACUCUUCUACUA
This 70-nucleotide transfer RNA is filed under the name Rhabdoblatta omei. Its description in RNAcentral is "tRNA-Tyr". The record is from RNAcentral. Lineage: Eukaryota; Metazoa; Arthropoda; Insecta; Blattodea; Blaberidae.